CUAACGCAUUAAGUACCCCGCCUGGGGAGUACGGCCGCAAGGCUAAAACUCGAAGGAAUUGACGGGGGCCCGCACAAGCGGCGGA
Molecule: ribosomal RNA, 85 nt
Filed under: Mycobacterium tuberculosis
Lineage: Bacteria; Bacillati; Actinomycetota; Actinomycetes; Mycobacteriales; Mycobacteriaceae
Description: partial 16S ribosomal RNA
Rfam family: Bacterial small subunit ribosomal RNA
Source: RNAcentral